Molecule: long non-coding RNA, 9443 nt
Filed under: Zea mays
Lineage: Eukaryota; Viridiplantae; Streptophyta; Magnoliopsida; Poales; Poaceae
Description: long non-coding RNA (ZMAY_LNC002563)
Source: RNAcentral
CCACUUCUCCUCCUCCCCUUGGCCGCCGCCCCCCUGCCCAUCACCUCCUCUCUCAAUUUUUGCAGCCACCAAACCCUAGCCGUCCCCCCCCCAAUCCCCUCCUCCCAAGGUGCCAAUCCUUGCCGCUCGGAUCGUCGUCUCAUGGUGCGAUUCUCCAACCGUUUUGGUGGAGGGAAGAAGGGAGGAAGGAAAGGGGGAGAACCCAAGGUGAUUUUUGUGUUCAUCCCUUGUUCAUUUGCGCUGCGAUUCAAUUGAUUAGAUGUUGCGUUUGCGAUUAGAUAGAGGGGGGCUGUCCAGAAUUUUACGUGGUGGAUGAACAGCGGAAGUUCUAGCAGUUUUUAGGGUUUUUUCGUGAAGAAUUAAUGGGGAUCAAUUUGGGGUCUUGUAGAACUUUGUUUUACCUUUCCAACGGGUAUUUAUGCGCUCAAUUUGGAGUUAUAAAUUAAAAGUUAUCAUCGUUUGAAUCCGGGUGUGUGGCUGUCCAAAUAACAGAUUUUUCAGAGUGAUGAACAGCAGCAGUAUUAGCAGUUUCUGGGGAUUUUUCGGGAGUAAUUAGUGUUAAUCAGUAUGAGAAUCAUGUAGGGCUUUUUCUUAUCUUUCCAACAAGUACUUAUGCGCUCAAAUCGGAAUUAUAUUUUAAAAGUUAUCGCUGUUUGAAUCCGAGUAUGUCGCUGCCCAAAUCAGAAAAAAACAGAUUGCAGGGUUUAUUUUGUGGACCGUUUAGAGGUAAUUAGAUGUUAGAAUUUAAUCAUGAGUCGUAUACAAAACUUGUGGGAAAUUUUAGGUAGUUGUCUCUGAAGUUUUUGUUUGACACCACUGCUGUCCUAAUUUUUAAGUUAUGGAAUUGUUAAGCAGUGCCGCUGCAGUUUGGUUAGUGAGGGGAGAAUUGUUACCGCGGCGGGGUUGAGAUUGCGCGUAGGUGCGGUGUUGUCUUUGAGUUUUUUUAUGUGAAUUUGGUGCACUAAGUUGGGUGUCAAAAACAGGUGGUGGACUUCCGGAUCGUUCUUAGGGAUUUUGCCCAAACUUCGGUGAAGGCAAGUAAAACUGUGAUGGUUAUUCCGUCUGUCUGAUGAGGAGUCUUAUACUUGUUUAUGUUGUGCUAUCAUGUUCAAAUUCAUAUUUUAUUUUGAGUACCAUCAUUUGAAAAUGUUCAUGUUUCAUGGAUUUCGUAUGUUGAGUUUGAGGUUUGAUUAUGUUACUCAAGUGGUUAUUAUGUGGAAUGGUUGGAAGUAAAUGCCUAGCACAUUUUUAUUUGGGAAGAACUUAUGAUGUUGUCAUGCAUAAUGCACUCAUCAUCCAUUGCAUUGAAGUUUCGUCGCGAUCUUAUGGUCCGACCAUACCGGUACAUUGAGCAUCAUAUGUUGCCCGAGAAGGGGUAUGGUGCAGCUUCAUAUCCUUAGAGAUAUGGAGGCAGAAGUCAUUAUUGCAUUUGUAGCCAUGUGCAUUCAUGGGAGAGGUGUUGAAUCUAUUAUGUGGAUGUGGAUAAUUUGGACUUGUGCAUGGUGAUUCUACUUGGCGUUGAGCUUUUAGUUACUUGGUUACUUGCUGCAAUUUACUGUUCAAAAGAAAAGAAAGAAGUCCUGAACACGUGGUUGUGAAAGCACAGUUGAUUUACAAUGUCCUAUUUGUUGUUGUUAUGUUUACUUGCUGAGAUGUGUUAUCUCACAUCUUGCAUUGUUUGAUGCAGGCACCUAAUUUCUGCUUUGGGAAUAGAGGGAUGUAGCAGCACGGCCACUACACCUUUAAUAAAGGAACCACCAUUUAAUAAUGUUGUUAAUCAGAGUUGGACAAGUCUAGUGAAUUGCUUUGUUCUUGGUUGAGCGUUUAUUUUGGGGUGGGCUGAGUUUCUUAUCCCAUUUAUUUUGCUUCAGUUGGGUCAUAAUUAAGUUUUACCACUUUUGCAUUUCAGUUUCUACUAUGUGAAUUAUAUGUCUUUAUAUCUUGUAUGAGCUUCAUGUUUCCCCUCCUUGUUAUGCUAGUUUUCAAAGGAGGUGCUGCCGGAUUUUGCUAUAUAUAUUCUUUCUUUAUUACUUCUCUUGUGUUGAGUAAGUUCCAUGGGUGGGGGUUUGUGGUAUUAUCCAUUGUAUGUGACCAAUGGGGUGUUACAGUUGGUAUCAGAGGAAUAGGCUGUAGGUCCUAGCAAGUGGAGUAGUAAUAAAUUGACACACUGCACAUGUAGGAUGGGAUUUCUAUCUUGCUAUUGAUAUGAUUAUGUUAUGGUCUGUGCUAGCUUUGACAUUAUCUGAAGAGAUGCUAUGCUUAUCUCAUUUACUUAUUGUACUCAUCCCUGUGGCUGCAGCUAUGCCGCCUCGUAGAGCUCGGGGUAGUCCGCAAGCUCCUAGUGGGGACUCGAUGAGUCCGGCGGCAAUGUUAGCCGCGAUGCAGGCCAUGCAGCAGGAGUUGGCCCUUCUGAGGCAAGCCAUUCCUGUCGCCCCUGCGGGUGCUGCUCAGGGUGCUGGAGGUGGAGAAGUGCCCGGGGGCGCUGUCCCUGCGGGUGCUGUUCCAGGUGGCGGGGCCGAGGUGCCUCUUCCAGUCAGUGGUCUUUCUCUGAUGCAGUGGAUGGGCAUGAAGUUGGAUUCUUUUGAUGGCAGUGGUACUCCGGUCGAGGCGGCAGAUUGGUUGACUUAUGUGGAGGAUAAGAUGAAUGUCUUCGAGAUUGCAUAUGGAGAUCGGGUUCGCUUUGGCACUCAGCUGCUGAAGGGAGAGGCGCAAAUUUGGUGGAGAGGCGUGCAGGCAGCGCACUCCUCCUCACCAGGAGUCCUAUCAUGGGAUGUUUUCAUUAGGCAGUUCGAAAGGAGAUUCUACCCGGUCACCUUUCUGGAGAAAAUGAAGAUUGACUUGCAGUCCUAUAAGCAGGAGAAGAAGUCUGUCACAGAGUAUGAGGUGGGCUUCAACAAGAUGGUCCGCUUUGUCCCUCAUGUGGCUUAUAAUGAGAUGGAGAAGGCGAGCCAAUUCCGUCAGGGUCUGAAGCCUUCUAUCAGGCAUGCACUGGGGGCCUUUCCAUUGGUGGACUUCCGUACCACGGUGGAGCAGGCGCUGGGUGUGGAGAUGCAACACCAGUAUACCAUGGAGUCGCAGAAGUCUUCGGGUGUUGAUCAGCCUCGUAGCCAGGACACGAGGAGGGGCAACACUGGAGGUCCAGCUCACAAGAGGGGCAAGUCUCAGCAUCAGCGCCACCAUCCUUACCGUGGCAAAUCUUCUGACUCGGGUACUUCGGGAGGAAGUACUCAGAGGUUUCGGGCCGUUCCUAAGCCCGGGCUGGGGCUGGUGUGUUUCCGUUGUGGAGAUGCGCAUCGCCGUGCAGAGUGCCAGUGGAGUGGCAGGUGUUCGAUCUGCAGUCAGGACCACAAGGAUGUGGUGUGUAGGAGGAAUCCCAAUGGGAAGCUCAGAUGGGAGCUGGUGACUUCCUCCUCUUCUCAGGGCACUAUCAACAUGAUGUCAAGUGCUGAGCAGCAGUUUUCAGUUCCUCUUCCUCCACAGCAGCUUUAUGUGUCUGGGACUUCUCAGUUCGUGCCGAUGCAGGGUUUCCCUCAGUAUCAGGUCGCGCCUACUCCUGCACCGUCUACCCCUGUGCUGACUCAGUUUGGAGCUCCGCGCCAGCCUCCUCCGGUGGCUCAGUGGGGUUCUUCUGUUAAUUUCACUCCGGGAGCUUCCUCUUCUGCGGGUAUUUCUGGAGCUUAUGUGCUACCCGCUACGGAUGGCAGGGAGCAAGGAGACGUGGUGACAGGUACGAUUUUAGUUGAUUCAUUUGCAGCCCAUGCUCUUUUUGACUCUGGCGCUAGCUAUUCGUUUGUUUUGGAGGAUUUUGUGUCGCGGGCUGGUCUUUCGGUGCAGAGGUUGGGUCACCCAAUUUUGGUUAGUUCUGCUAAUGGCUCCAUUAGUAGCUGUUCAGUUUGUCAGGGGUGUUCCGUCAUUCUUGCUGAUGAGGUUUUUUCGGCCAAUCUGGUGGUGAUUUCCUUGGGGGCAUUCGAUGUUAUCUUGGGUAUGGAUUGGUUAUCCCAGUAUCGCGCGGUUAUAUCCUGCUUCUGGAAGAUAGUGUUAUUGCAGGCGCCGUCGGGUAAGGAGGUGGUAUUCUUGGGAAGUUCCCCGAAGUUCACAUUAUCCUUGUUGGCGCAAUUGCUUCCUGAUCGCCGGUCAAGGAAGUCGGGGAUCUUUUUCUCUAUGGUGGUGGAGGGUGAGGCUGCCUUGCGGGUGCAGGACAUCCGGGUGGUGUGUGACUUUGCUGACGUGUUUCCGGCAGAGCUUCUAGGCAUUCCUCCGGAGCGCGAUGCAGCUUUUGAGAUUAAGCUGAUCCCAGGUACACAGCCUAUUCAUAAGGCCCCGUAUCGAAUGGCUCCAAAGGAGCAGAUUGAAUUAAAGCGGCAAUUGGAUGAUCUGCUGGCUAAGGGCUUCAUUAGGCCUAGCAGGUCUCCAUGGGCUUCCCCGGUAUUGUUGUUGAGAAGAAGGAUAAAAGCAAGCGGCUGUGUGUGGAUUAUCGCGCUUUGAAUCAAGUGACAAUCAAGAAUAAAUAUCCGCUUCCCCGAAUUGAGGUCCUCUUUGAGCAGUUGAGGGGUGCCCAGGUGUUCUCCAAAAUUGAUUUGAACUCCGGUUAUCAUCAAUUGAGGAUUCAUGAGGAGGAUAUUGAGAAGACCACCUUUUGCACCAGGUAUGGGCAUUAUGAGUUCAUAGUCAUGUCUUUUGGCUUAACUAAUGCCCCUGCUGCCUUUAUGGAAGCAAUGAAUAGGAUGUUGCAUGAAUUCCUGGACGAUUUUGUGGUCGUAUUCCUGGAUGAUAUUUUGAUUUAUUCAAAGACCGAGGCCGAGCAUGAACAGCAUCUCCGUCUCGUUCUGGGUGCCCUACGGAAGAAUCAAUUCUAUGACAAGUUGAAGAAGUGUGCCUUUUGGCUUUCCGAAGUGGCUUUCCUGGGGCACGUGAUUAAUCAGCAGGGUAUUGCGGUUGAUCCCAAGAAUGUUGCGGCUGUGGUGGAGUGGAAGAGACCUUCUAGUGUCUCUGAAAUCCGAAGUUUCUUGGGGCUUGCUGGGUAUUAUCGGCGCUUCGUACCAAAUUUUUCCAGCAUUGCUAAGCCUUUGACUAGGCUCUUGGAGAAGGGUGUUCCCUUCGUCUGGUCCGGCGAAUGUGAGGUCAGUUAUCAGUCAUUGAAGAGCAAGUUGGUGGACGCCCCUAUCCUAGCUUUGCCUGAGAGCGGUAAGCGUUUCACAGUUUAUACGGAUGCUUCGCGUAUUGGUCUUGGUUGUGUGCUGAUGCAGGAAGGCAGAGUGAUUGCUUAUGGCUCAAGGCAGCUGAGGAAGCAUGAGGGGAAUUAUCCAACUCAUGAUCUGGAAUUGGCCGCGGUGGUUUUUGCUCUAAAGUCGUGGAGGCAUUACCUUUAUGGCGAGGCUUGUGACAUUUUCACCGAUCACAAAAGUCUCAAGUAUAUUUUUACUCAGAAGGAGCUGAAUUUGAGGCAGCGACGGUGGCUGGAAUUGAUUAAAGAUUAUGAUUUGUCCAUUCAUUAUCACCCGGGGAAGGCUAAUGUGGUGGCUGAUGCCCUUAGCAGGUCCGGGGUUCCAAAGGUGGCCUUGCCGUUGAUCGCUGAUCUGGACCCUUUGGGGAUCGCUUUGUGUUAUGUCGGCACUGCUAGCAAGGAGACUCCGAUGCUUAUUCAAUCCUCUCUCAUGGAGAGAGUGCGUGCGGCUCAGCAGCAGGAUCGUCUAUUGCAGGAAGCUCGAAAGACGGUGGGUGAUGGUAAACCGCGGGAGUUCACCAUUGAUGAGAAUGAUUUGGUUCGUUUCAGGGGCCGCCUCUGUGUGCCUCAGAAAUCAGAGGUGAAAAUGGAUAUCUUGAGAGAAGCUCAUAAAACGCCUUACACCGUCCAUCCUGGCGAAACCAAAAUGUACCGAGAUUUGAAGCAAAACUUCUGGUGGAAGCGGAUGAAGGUUGACGUUUCUAAGUAUGUGGCCGCCUGUGAAGUAUGUCAGCGCGUGAAGGCCGAGCAUAAGCGGCUUGCAGGUUUGCUGAAGCCAUUAGAAAUUCCAGAGUGGAAAUGGGAGCAUAUCACCAUGGAUUUUUGUGGUGGGUCUACCUCGUUCCGCUCGUGGCAGGGAUGCUAUUUGGGUGGUAGUGGAUCGCUUGACUAAGUCUGCGCAUUUUAUUCCCAUGAAGACCACAAAUUCAGCUUCAGAUUUGGUUCCCUUGUAUAUGAAGGAAGUAGUCAGGCUUCACAGGGUACCUAAGUCUAUUGUUUCUGAUCGAGACUCCAAAUUUGUAUCCAAAUUCUGGGAGGGUCUCCAUAGUGCUUUGGGCACCAAGCUUUCGCUUAGUGUCGCUUUUCACCCUCAUACGGAUGGUCAGUCAGAGCGAACAAUCCAAACCUUGGAAGACAUGCUGCGUGCUUGUGUUCUGUCAUGGAAGGGUAGCUGGGAGGAUCGUCUUGCUCUGGCAGAGUUUGCUUAUAACAACAGCUACCAGGCUAGCAUCAAGAUGGCACCAUUUGAGGCUUUGUAUGGCAGGCGGUGUAUCUCUCCUCUGUGCUGGGAGACUUUGGGAGAGAGAUCCCUGGUUGGUCCUGAUUGGGUCCAGCAAACUUCUAAAAAGGUUCAGGAAAUUCGUCAGAAUAUUUUGGCAGCUCAGAGUCGUCAGAAGAGUUAUGCUGAUGUGAGGAGGCGGGAUCUGGAAUUUGUUGUGGGUGACCAAGUCCUUCUCAGGGUAUCACCCACUAAGGGAGUUGUUCGGUUCGAUGUCUCUGGGAAGCUCAGCCCGAGAUACAUUGGACCGUUCACUAUCUUGGCUCGAGUGGGCAGCCUGGCUUAUCGCUUGCUGCUGCCGGAUUCCAUGGCGGGGGUACACCCGGUUUUUCAUGUCUCUAUGUUGAGGAAGUUCUUGCGGGAUCCGGACCAUCAGAUUGAGAUGGAACCAAUUGCGGUGCAGCAGGAUCUGACUCUAGAGUGUCGUCCGGUGCGUAUAUUGGAAUUCUCGGAGCGUGUGUUGAGGAAGAGAUCAAUUAAGUAUGUCAAGGUCUUAUGGACUAACCAGUCUGAGCGUGAGGCUACGUGGGAACUUGAGGAACUGAUGCGGCAGAAGUACCCAGAACUUUUCGUUGUGGGUAAGUGUUGUUGAUUCAUUAAUCUUUUCUUUUGUCAUUCCGAUAGAAGCGUCAGAAUUCGAGGUCGAAUUCUUUUUAAGAGGGGUAGAGUGUGAUACCCGGUUUGCAAAGAAGAGAAGUUGGGGGUUGUUCUUUUUGUUUUUUUUCCUCAUCCGGUUGUUGUUUUGGGGAUUUGGAAUUUUGUGGAAAACAUUCACAACUAGGGCAGUAGAAUUUAUUUGGUUUGACGCUAGCGUGGCGGUCGGGAGCUGUCGCGUGGGUUAGUUGGGCCGCAAUAGGUGUUUCGGCCCAUUAACCCUCCCAAACCCUAGCCGCCUCUCUCCUAACCCCCUCCCCCCAUGUGCAGCCCCCCCCCCCCACUUCUCCUCCUCCCCUUGGCCGCCGCCCCCCUGCCCAUCACCUCCUCUCUCAAUUUUUGCAGCCACCAAACCCUAGCCCCCCCCCAAUCCCCUCCUCCCAAGGUGCCAAUCCUUGCCGCUCGGAUCGUCGUCUCGUGGUGCGAUUCUCCAACCGUUUUGGUGGAGGGAGGAAGGGAGGAAGGAAAGGGGGAGAACCCAAGGUGAUUUUUGUGUUCAUCUCUUGUUCAUUUGUGCUGCAAUUCAAUUGAUUAGAUGUUGCGUUUGCGAUUAGAUAGAGGGGGGCCGUCCAGAAUUUUACGUGGUGGAUGAACAGCGGAAGUUCUAGCAGUUUUUAGGGUUUUUUCGUGAAGGAUUAAUGGGGAUCAAUUUGGGGAUCUUGUAGAACUUUGUUUUACCUUUCCAAUGGGUAUUUAUGCGCUCAAUUUGGAGUUAUAAAUUAAAAGUUAUCAUCGUUUGAAUCCGGGUGUGUGGCUGUCCAAAAAACAGAUUUUUCAGAGUGUUGAACAGCAGCAGUAUUAGCAGUUUCUGGGGAUUUUUCGGGAGUAAUUAGUGUUAAUCAGUAUGAGAAUCAUGUAGGGCUUUUUCUUAUCUUUCCAACAAGUACUUAUGCGCUCAAAUCGGAAUUAUAUUUUAAAAGUUAUCGCUGUUUGAAUCCGAGUAUGUCGCUGCCCAAAUCAGAAAAAAACAGAUUGCAGGGUUUAUUUUGUGGACCGUUUAGAGGUAAUUAGAUGUUAGAAUUUAAUCAUGAGUCGUAUACAAAACUUGUGGGAAAUUUUAGGUAGUUGUCUCUGAAGUUUUUGUUUGACACCACUGCUGUCCUAAUUUUUAAGUUAUGGAAUUGUUAAGCAGUGCCGCUGCAGUUUGGUUAGUGAGGGGAGAAUUGUUACCGCGGCGGGGUUGAGAUUGCGCGUAGGUGCGGUGUUGUCUUUGAGUUUUUUUAUGUGAAUUUGGUGCACUAAGUUGGGUGUCAAAAACAGGUGGUGGACUUCCGGAUCGUUCUUAGGGAUUUUGCCCAAACUUCGGUGAAGGCAAGUAAAACUGUGAUGGUUAUUCCGUCUGUCUGAUGAGGAGUCUUAUACUUGUUUAUGUUGUGCUAUCAUGUUCAAAUUCAUAUUUUAUUUUGAGUACCAUCAUUUGAAAAUGUUCAUGUUUCAUGGAUUUCGUAUGUUGAGUUUGAGGUUUGAUUAUGUUACUCAAGUGGUUAUUAUGUGGAAUGGUUGGAAGUAAAUGCCUAGCACAUUUUUAUUUGGGAAGAACUUAUGAUGUUGUCAUGCAUAAUGCACUCAUCAUCCAUUGCAUUGAAGUUUCGUCGCGAUAUUAUGGUCCGACCGUACCGGUACAUUGAGCAUCAUAUGUUGCCCGAGAAGGGGUAUGGUGCAGCUUCAUAUCCUUAGAGAUAUGGAGGCAGAAGUCAUUAUUGCAUUUGUAGCCAUGUGCAUUCAUGGGAGAGGUGUUGAAUCUAUUAUGUGGAUGUGGAUAAUUUGGACUUGUGCAUGGUGAUUCUACUUGGCGUUGAGCUUUUAGUUACUUGGUUACUUGCUGCAAUUUACUGUUCAAAAGAAAAGAAAGAAGUCCUGAACACGUGGUUGUGAAAGCAUAGUUGAUUUACAAUGUCCUAUUUAUUGUUGUUAUGUUUACUUGCUGAGAUGUGUUAUCUCACAUCUUGCAUUGUUUGAUGCAGGCACCUAAUUUCUGCUUUGGGAAUAGAGGGAUGUAGCAGCACGGCCACUACACCUUUAAUAAAGGAACCACCAUUUAAUAAUGUUGUUAAUCAGAGUUGGACAAGUCUAGUGAAUUGCUUUGUUCUUGGUUGAGCGUUUAUUUUGGGGUGGGCUGAGUUUCUUGUCCCAUUUGUUUUGCUUCAGUUGGGUCAUAAUUAAGUUUUACCACUUUUGCAUUUCAGUUUCUACUAUGUGAAUUAUAUGUCUUUAUAUCUUGUAUGAGCUUCAUGUUUCCCCUCCUUGUUAUGCUAGUUUUCAAAGGAGGUGUUGCCGGAUUUUGCU